Molecule: ribosomal RNA, 301 nt
Filed under: Aelurostrongylus abstrusus (cat lungworm)
Lineage: Eukaryota; Metazoa; Nematoda; Chromadorea; Rhabditida; Metastrongylidae
Description: partial small subunit ribosomal RNA
Source: RNAcentral
CUGAAAGAAUAUUGGCAGAUUUCUUAAAUUAUCUUUGGAGGUUGAGUGGUAAUUGAGAGCCCUCAUUAUCUACUUUUUUUUUAGGCUCAUGUAUGAUCGUUUAUUUUAUGCUUGAGGUUUAGGAGUUAAUUUUGUUAGGUUGUAAAAAUAGAUAUAUAUUUGGUUUAUAAGUGAAGUUUUAUUUGACCUACAUUGUUUAUGAAGUUGGAUUAUUGAUUUAGUGUCAAUAUGAAAUUGUAAAAGACAGUAAAGAGGUUUUUAUGUUUUCUUGAAGAUUAUUUGAGAGUGGUACAAAUCAUCC